UGGCCGGUGAUGGCACCCAUCCUUGCUCCCCAAGCCACCAGAGCUGUGUACAACCUCGAGGCUGCCCCCAGGCCAAGCCAGUGGGCUGUCUCAUGGGGCCUGAGGGCA
Molecule: small nucleolar RNA, 108 nt
Organism: Talpa occidentalis (Iberian mole)
Lineage: Eukaryota; Metazoa; Chordata; Mammalia; Eulipotyphla; Talpidae
Product: small nucleolar RNA SNORD23
Exons: 1
Source: RefSeq, a predicted model, not a curated record